CUGUUGAGUUUGACUCUAAUUUGACUCUGUGACGAGUCUUGAGAGACGUAGUAUAAGUGGGAGACUUCGGUCGCAAUUGAAAUACCACUACUUUCAUCGAUUCUUUACUUAUUCGGUAAUGCGGGGAUUGGAGCUCGUUCUCCUUCCUUCUGGUGUUAAGCGUCGGCUCUCGGAGCUUUCGCGACCCGGACCGAAGACAGUGUCAGGCCGGAAGUUUGACUGUGCCGGUACAUCUAUCAAAACGUAACGUGGGUGUCCUAACAAUUCUAUGCUUCUUUCUUUUGGUGCCACUAUUGUUCAUAGCCAGACAAAGCAUAUCGAUCCAUGACCAACCCUUGAAAAAACUUUACAG
Molecule: non-coding RNA, 352 nt
Filed under: Pristionchus pacificus
Lineage: Eukaryota; Metazoa; Nematoda; Chromadorea; Rhabditida; Neodiplogasteridae
Description: Eukaryotic large subunit ribosomal RNA
Rfam family: Eukaryotic large subunit ribosomal RNA
Source: Rfam by way of RNAcentral